GGUGAGACUAGCCCGACGGGGUGAAAAGCAAGAAACCCUACUUGCCUGUCUCGCUAAACUUUAGGGG
Molecule: non-coding RNA, 67 nt
Organism: Xenorhabdus cabanillasii JM26
Lineage: Bacteria; Pseudomonadati; Pseudomonadota; Gammaproteobacteria; Enterobacterales; Morganellaceae
Source: Rfam